GAGGCCAUGGUGUAGUAGUAGCACAAGACUCUGUGGAAGUCUAAGCACGGGUGCAAAUCCCGUUGGUCUCC
This 71-nucleotide transfer RNA is filed under the name Patescibacteria group bacterium. RNAcentral's name for it is "tRNA-His". It matches the Rfam family "tRNA". From Rfam's summary of the family: Transfer RNA (tRNA) molecules are approximately 80 nucleotides in length. Their secondary structure includes four short double-helical elements and three loops (D, anti-codon, and T loops). The record is from RNAcentral.